CCACACCUAAAACUUUCCACGUGAACUGUCGUUAUUUGUUGUGUGUGUGCGCGUUGCUGGCGUGCGUUUGCUUACGCUUCGGUGUUUGCGAGUGCGUGCUGUCGGUGCGCGGACUGAACGAAGGUCGUGUGUUUGCUGUGUGCCUGCUGCACCGCUGACUUUGCAUUCAUUUGCAUGGUCUUGGCGGAGCGGCGGGUGCUGUGCGUGCGCGGCUGACUUAUCUUUUUCAAACCCCAUACCUAAAUGACUGAUUAUACUGUGAGAACGAAAGUUCUUGCUUUAAACUAGAUAACAACUUUCAGCAGUGGAUGUCUAGGCUCGCACAUCGAUGAAGAACGCUGCGAACUGCGAUACGUAAUGCGAAUUGCAGAAUUCAGUGAGUCAUCGAAAUUUUGAACGCAUAUUGCACUUCCGGGUUAUGCCUGGAAGUAUGUCUGUAUCAGUGUCCGUAAAUCAAACUUGCGUUUCUUCCUUCCGUGUAGUCGGUGGAGGAGAGUUGCAGAUGUGAAGUGUCUCGCUGUGGUUGGCGUUCGUUAUUUGUAAUGAAUGCAGAGCUUGCGAGUCCUUUUAAAUGGACACGACUUUCUCUUUUUUGUAUCUGCGCGGUGCUGUGCGUGAAACGCGGUGGUUUUCGGAUCGCUCGCGGCUGUCGGCGACUUCGGUGAAUGCAUGAUGGAGUGGACCUCGAUUUCGCGGUAUGUUGGGCUUUCGGCUGGACAAUGUUGCUUUAUUGGGGUGUCUGUUC
Molecule: ribosomal RNA, 745 nt
Filed under: Globisporangium paroecandrum
Lineage: Eukaryota; Oomycota; Peronosporomycetes; Pythiales; Pythiaceae
Description: eukaryotic LSU rRNA
Rfam family: 5.8S ribosomal RNA (bases 294-448)
Source: RNAcentral